This 422-nucleotide ribosomal RNA is filed under the name uncultured prokaryote. RNAcentral's name for it is "bacterial SSU rRNA". It matches the Rfam family "Bacterial small subunit ribosomal RNA", at positions 355 to 774 of the family's 1533-position model. The record is from RNAcentral.
UGAGGAAUAUUGGUCAAUGGGCGAGAGCCUGAACCAGCCAAGUCGCGUGCAGGAAGACGGCCCUAUGGGUUGUAAACUGCUUUUAUAAGGGAAUAAAGUGAGUCUCGUGAGACUUUUUGCAUGUACCUUAUGAAUAAGGACCGGCUAAUUCCGUGCCAGCAGCCGCGGUAAUACGGAAGGUCCGGGCGUUAUCCGGAUUUAUUGGGUUUAAAGGGAGCGUAGGCCGGAGAUUAAGCGUGUUGUGAAAUGUAGGCGCUCAACGUCUGCACUGCAGCGCGAACUGGUUUCCUUGAGUACGCACAAAGUGGGCGGAAUUCGUGGUGUAGCGGUGAAAUGCUUAGAUAUCACGAAGAACUCCGAUUGCGAAGGCAGCUCACUGGAGCGCAACUGACGCUGAAGCUCGAAAGUGCGGGUAUCGAACA